RNAcentral lists this ribosomal RNA (330 nucleotides) under uncultured bacterium. RNAcentral describes it as "bacterial SSU rRNA". It matches the Rfam family "Bacterial small subunit ribosomal RNA", at positions 568 to 898 of the family's 1533-position model. The record is from RNAcentral.
UUCGUAGGUGGUGCGGCAAGUUGGGAGUGAAAUCUCUGGGCUUAACUCAGAGGCUGCUUUCAAAACUGCCGUGCUCGAGUGCGGGAGAGGCCAGUGGAAUUGCAGGUGUAGCGGUGAAAUGCGUAGAUAUCUGCAGGAACACCCGUGGCGAAGGCGGCUGGCUGGACCGCAACUGACACUGAGGAACGAAAGCUAGGGGAGCAAACAGGAUUAGAUACCCUGGUAGUCCUAGCCCUAAACCAUCAGGACUUGGGGUGGCUCGCGUAGGCGAGUCGUCCCGUAGCUAACGCGUUAAGUCCUGCGCCUGGGGAGUACGGUCGCAAGACUGAA